RNAcentral lists this long non-coding RNA (511 nucleotides) under Androctonus crassicauda. Lineage: Eukaryota; Metazoa; Arthropoda; Arachnida; Scorpiones; Buthidae. The record is from RNAcentral.
GUUUAAAUUUAGAUAAUGCAAUAUCAAAUUACGGUACAUUUCAAAAGUUAGGUAAUAAAUUAAUUGAAUAAAUUUUUAUUAGAGAAACAAAAAGUACAUAUUAAGAUGUGAUUGUAUUUCAAAAAAUAAGUCUUCAUAUUUUUAACUGUUUGCUAUAAUUAUUUUUGUGAAUAUUCAAAAUUUUGGAAAAAAAGUAAUAAGAAAACACUUGUCUCAUAAGUUUAGGUCAGGGUUUCCCAACCAGGGGUACGAGAUGGCAUUCCAGGGAGUUGAGAUAACAUUUCAAAAGAAUGUUAUGCUAUUAUUAUAUUCCAAAAAUAAUUGCUAUCAACAUUUUCAGGCUAUUCUAGUGAGAUUGCCUAGACUUUUUUUCUCACUGCAGGGUCCAUUAACUCAAAAUGCCUGGUUAACAUUCAAGAUAACUAGUGAAAUUGCCAGAUCAGUGUCCCUUGAGGCUCGCUUCUGCAGCAUGCAUGUGCAUGGAGUACUGGAUAAUUUAUUAAAAGCCAAG